AUCCAAAUGACAAGUUCGAAAUAAGACGAAACGUGCGUCCUGCAU
Molecule: non-coding RNA, 45 nt
Filed under: Schistosoma margrebowiei
Lineage: Eukaryota; Metazoa; Platyhelminthes; Trematoda; Strigeidida; Schistosomatidae
Source: RNAcentral